RNAcentral lists this ribosomal RNA (468 nucleotides) under uncultured bacterium. Its description in RNAcentral is "partial 16S ribosomal RNA". It matches the Rfam family "Bacterial small subunit ribosomal RNA", at positions 28 to 507 of the family's 1533-position model. The record is from RNAcentral.
GACGAACGCUGGCGGCGUGCUUAACACAUGCAAGUCGAACGGAAAGGCCCUGCUUUUGUGGGGUGCUCGAGUGGCGAACGGGUGAGUAACACGUGAGUAACCUGCCCUUGACUUUGGGAUAACUUCAGGAAACUGGGGCUAAUACCGGAUAGGAGCUCCUGCUGCAUGGUGGGGGUUGGACAGUUUCGGCGGUUGGGGAUGGACUCGCGGCUUAUCAGCUUGUUGGUGGGGUACUGGCUUACCCAGGCUUUGGCGGGUAGCCGGCCUGAGAGGGUGACCGGCCACAUUGGGACUGCGGUACGGCGCAGACUCCUACGGGGGGCAGCAGUGGGGAAUAUUGCACAAUGGGCGGAAGCCUGAUGCAGCAACGCCGGGUGCGGGAUGACGGCCUUCGGGUUGUAAACCGCUUUCGCCUGUGACGAAGCGUGAGUGACGGUAAUGGGUAAAGAAGCACCGGCUAACUACGUG